GCUAGCGUUGCUCGGAAUCACUGGGCGUAAAGCGCACGUAGGCGGCUUCUUAAGUCCGGGGUGAAAUCCUGGAGCUCAACUCCAGAACUGCCUUUGAUACUGGGAAGCUUGAGUCCGGAAGAGGUGAGUGGAACUCCGAGUGUAGAGGUGAAAUUCGUAGAUAUUCGGAAGAACACCAGUGGCGAAGGCGGCUCACUGGUCCGGUACUGACGCUGAGGUGCGAAAGCGUGGGGAGCAAACAGG
This 243-nucleotide ribosomal RNA is filed under the name uncultured bacterium. RNAcentral's name for it is "partial 16S ribosomal RNA". It matches the Rfam family "Bacterial small subunit ribosomal RNA", at positions 534 to 776 of the family's 1533-position model. The record is from RNAcentral.